GGGGGUGUGGCUCAGUUGGUAGAGUAUUUGCCUAGCACACAGAAAGCCCUGGGUUUGAUCCCCUGUACCACAU
Molecule: transfer RNA, 73 nt
Filed under: Cricetulus griseus (Chinese hamster)
Lineage: Eukaryota; Metazoa; Chordata; Mammalia; Rodentia; Cricetidae
Rfam family: tRNA
About the family: Transfer RNA (tRNA) molecules are approximately 80 nucleotides in length.
Source: Rfam by way of RNAcentral